This 492-nucleotide ribosomal RNA is filed under the name uncultured bacterium. RNAcentral describes it as "partial 16S ribosomal RNA". It matches the Rfam family "Bacterial small subunit ribosomal RNA", at positions 29 to 507 of the family's 1533-position model. The record is from RNAcentral.
AGUGAACGCUGGCGGUAGGCCUAACACAUGCAAGUCGAACGGCAGCACAGUAAGAGCUUGCUCUUACGGGUGGCGAGUGGCGGACGGGUGAGGAAUACAUCGGAAUCUACUUUUUCGUGGGGGAUAACGUAGGGAAACUUACGCUAAUACCGCAUACGACCUACGGGUGAAAGCAGGGGAUCUUCGGACCUUGCGCGAUUGAAUGAGCCGAUGUCGGAUUAGCUAGUUGGCGGGGUAAAGGCCCACCAAGGCGACGAUCCGUAGCUGGUCUGAGAGGAUGAUCAGCCACACUGGAACUGAGACACGGUCCAGACUCCUACGGGAGGCAGCAGCGGGGAAUAUUGGACAAUGGGCGCAAGCCUGAUCCAGCCAUACCGCGUGGGUGAAGAAGGCCUUCGGGUUGUAAAGCCCUUUUGUUGGGAAAGAAAAGCAGCAGGUUAAUACCCCGCUGUUCUGACGGUACCCAAAGAAUAAGCAACGGCUAACUUCGUG